This 271-nucleotide long non-coding RNA is filed under the name Elaeis guineensis (African oil palm). RNAcentral describes it as "long non-coding RNA (EGUI_LNC069598)". The record is from RNAcentral. Lineage: Eukaryota; Viridiplantae; Streptophyta; Magnoliopsida; Arecales; Arecaceae.
UGUGUGUGACCCCGCAGGUUCGAACCUAAGCUGGUAGCACAGGAACCAAUUCCUAUACUAAUCGAAGUGACCAUCUAGCAAUGGUACCCGACGUCUGGAUAGGUCGAAGAGUUACAAUCGCAACACUCAGAGCCUACAUGAAUAUGGUUACUGUAUAAUUCAUCCUUUUGACCCCUGUGUUUAGGAUGACUCAGGAUUAAACUAUCAACCCUGAUCAGAUCAUUCGAAUCGUGCUCAACUCAAAUAGUCCUGUGACUCCUCACAAAGACUA